Molecule: long non-coding RNA, 317 nt
Filed under: Anas platyrhynchos platyrhynchos (common mallard)
Lineage: Eukaryota; Metazoa; Chordata; Aves; Anseriformes; Anatidae
Description: lncRNA (ENSAPLG00000021462.1)
Source: RNAcentral
GCAGGACUCCUCUUCUUUGGUAGCUUCUGGUUGGUAUUGCAGCAGCCUAGAAGAAAUAGGAGCAGUAGGAAGCAAUUAGUAAGAGUUCACUUGUCUUGGCUCCAGCACAAAUUUACAUACUUUUUCAGCAGUCUGUUGAAGCUUACCUGUCCCACCUGCAGAAGACAUUGCUUAACUUUCACACUUUCCAUCAAAGGCUACAUCAAGAAAUACCAAUACAGAUAGAAAUCUUCCUCCACAGCCUUGUAGAAAGAAUCCCAAAAGAUAAUCUGACCUUGAGCUUGAUCACAGUUCAGAAGAGGCAGGUGAAAGAGUGA